GUGAGGAAUAUUGGUCAAUGGGCGAAAGCCUGAACCAGCCAUGUCGCGUGAAGGAUGAAGGUCCUAUGGAUUGUAAACUUCUUUUGCAGGAGGGUAAAGUGAGCUACGUGUAGUUCAUUGCAAGUACCCUGCGAAUAAGCAUCGGCUAACUCCGUGCCAGCAGCCGCGGUAAUACGGAGGAUGCGUGCGUUAUCCGGAUUUAUUGGGUUUAAAGGGUGCGUAGGCGGACUAAUUAGUCAGCGGUGAAAUUUUGCGGCUCAACCGUAAAACUGCCGUUGAAACUGUUAGGCUUGAGUGCGGUAGAGGUAGGCGGAAUGUGUGGUGUAGCGGUGAAAUGCUUAGAUAUCACACAGAACACCGAUUGCGUAGGCAGCUUACUGGAGCGCAACUGACGCUGAGGCACGAAAGCGUGGGGAUCGAACAGGAUUAGAUACCCGAGUAGUCC
Molecule: ribosomal RNA, 445 nt
Filed under: uncultured bacterium
Lineage: Bacteria
Description: partial 16S ribosomal RNA
Rfam family: Bacterial small subunit ribosomal RNA
Source: RNAcentral